RNAcentral lists this long non-coding RNA (731 nucleotides) under Heterocephalus glaber (naked mole-rat). RNAcentral describes it as "lncRNA (ENSHGLG00100045876.1)". Lineage: Eukaryota; Metazoa; Chordata; Mammalia; Rodentia; Bathyergidae. The record is from RNAcentral.
CCAGAACCAAGCAGAUGCUGACACCAUGCCCUUGCAUCUCCAGAACUAUAUUACUCAUGCCAACAUACUACAGAGGGUAUCCUAGGGCCUCGGCAAGAUCUUGUGCAAGUUUAAAUGAAGCCCUGAAGCUUGAAGUUUAUUAGCCGUAUGAGUCAUCUAUUAGAACCUCAUACCCACUGUGAUGAUAUUAAGAGGUGAAGCCUCUGGAAAAUGAUCAAGUCACUGAGGAACUCUCAACCUUCUACAAAAAGCUCCAGAGAGCUCCCUGGCCUCCUUCUGCCGCAUGAAGAUGCUCGGAAGGUGCCAUCUCUGAUCCAGAAACUGGAUCUGCUGGCAUCUUGAUCUUGGACUUCUCAGCCUCCAGAAUUGUGGCACUGCCAAUAGGCUUGCAGCCUGGAUGGAAUGAAAAGGCAGAAGGAGGAAGUCCGCCGGUAUUUGAAAAGUUCCACUCUGCUCGAAUGAGUGCAUCUUUUGCUUCGACCAUCACCAGUGGACAUGAGAUUCCUGCUUCUUCAGGCUUUCAACUCAGACUCUCACCAGUGACUCUCCAGGGAACUUCCAGGCUUUUGGUCUUAGACUUGUGCUGGCUGCAUCAAUCCCUCUUGUUCUAUGGCUUCGUGCUUCUCACGUUGAGCAGCUCCUGGAUCCCCUGAUCUCCAGCAUGCAGACAGCCAUGGUGGGGUCUCCCACUUCUGAUCCUGUAAGCCUUCCUAAUAAAAGCCCUUGCCUGA